RNAcentral lists this long non-coding RNA (2035 nucleotides) under Gossypium barbadense (sea-island cotton). RNAcentral describes it as "long non-coding RNA (GBAR_LNC019844)". Lineage: Eukaryota; Viridiplantae; Streptophyta; Magnoliopsida; Malvales; Malvaceae. The record is from RNAcentral.
AAGACUUGAAGAAGAGUUUUAUACCUUCGGUUUCUAUGAUGAAACAAAAAAAUAAAAGAGAGCGUAAAAAACUGAUGCAUAAAAACAAUAUCACUAACCUUUCUUGAAUGAAAGGUCAGAAUAUCCAACCUUUCACGCGGGGAUGGAAAAUCACAGAAAAGGAGGCGAUCAAGCCUACCUGGUAUCAGCAAUGCAACAUCAAGCAAAUCUGGUCUACUACUUAUGAGAAGAAUUUAAGUCAAUUUUUAUUAAAGCCAUGCAACUUAUAAGGAAAACCAUGAAAUAAAAAAUUCAUAUAUUUAUGGAAAACCUUGAAAUCAAGAAACAUAUUAUCUUUUAAAAAUUUUGUGCUACUUGAAAAGCUAUCUUAUUUGGGUAUGCAUCUCAUGUCAAAAUUGAUCACGUGAAGAUAAUAACAAACCAAACUCAACAUUGUGGAGAUUAACCGAAGAUUAAGGAUAGAUACUAUCAAAAUAAUACAAUAGGAUUCCAUGAGAACAAACAUUGUUGCAACAAACACAAAUACACCAGUCAAAACUUCAAAACCAUCUAAUUUAGUUAGGAAUUGUUUGAAAGCAAAAUAACAAUGAGAAAGACAUCAAAAGUUAAGGCAAAAUAAUAAAAUGCAGCAAAAAAAAAAUCUAACUUUGUUGACAACUUGAUCAGUUACUCCAGUGUUGUCAUGUCAUCUUUUAGGGGUAAUGGAAUCAAAUUCAUCAAAAAAGUUAAAAAAUAUCUUGAACCUGAAAUGAUAUUGAGCAUGAACCAUUAAUUAUAUUUUAACAGUAGAAACACAUUAAUAUAUUUCCAUAACAUAUGAUGAGUUGAACUUAAUAGUCAAUAAGAUAUGCAUGCUUCAGCAUCCUAGUCCUUUGGGCACUAGAAUAAGUUAAUAAAUCUACAAAUUUGCAAAGUUUACAUUGACAGUAAUAUAUUACGUUAGUCCUAUACCCUUCAAUACAAUACUUAAAAUGCAUGUAACACAAACUUGCUACUAAAUUUCAUUUUAGGCAAGGUAAUUACUAAUAAUACUUACACAUUAUGCAUUUACACGGCUCACUAGAAAUUAUUGUUUAUAUCUGUUAUUUUUUACAUACUAGGUUUGAAUUAUAAUAAAUAUUACUGGCAUAUCAAGAAACAAAAAUCAAUGGGGAACACAUCUAUAAAAGAUGGCAAAAGAGAAAAUGCUUGAUUAGACUCUCUUACAGCUUGCUCAGAAGCACCAAUGUAAUUGUUUAGUAGUUCAAGCCCUUCACUGAUAUUUCCUGAAAUAAUAAAAUUAAUUAGUAUAAAUUUUACCCAAAAUUUUAGGAUAAGCAAUGGGAAGUGUAUGCAAUCUCAUUCCCUAAAUAACACAGAAUGCAACUUAUUAUAUCCAAUUUAAACUACAUGCAGAUUAAAAACGUCGUGAAAAUUAGUAACAAGAGGGAUAAAGAUGUCGGUAAUAUAUAGAAGUAACAAAUCUAUUCAGAGGGGAAAAUGAACAUUAAUGCCUUUUUAAAAAGAGAUACAAGACAGAAGUACAUACACAUACAAGAAAAAAAAUAUCAGAUCAUACGCAUCAUAUCCAUCACAAAAAUACCAGUUCUAUCAUUUGGAUUUAACCAGUUGGUUAAUGAAAAAGGUCCCAAUACCAAAAUCUACAAUUUCUAACCCUAUCCCCAAACUGCAGUCUUUGCAACUAAAAAAUUUCUAUUUUUCUUCAAAAUUCAAGAAAAUUAUGGAAAAAUAAUUACUGAACGGGAUUUCUCAAUAUUCUUCUAGGUAAUUCUUAUAACAAUGAUAAUUGAAAAAAAAAUUCGAAAGGAAAGAGGAAAAACGGAACCAAUAAUACAAACAUAGUUGAAAUUAUAAAACAAAAAGGGGAAGAAAAAAGGGGAACUUACAGAGGUUCUCACAAAGGAAAGGAGGCAGCUUUGCGGAGGUGGGGAACGAGUCGGAGAUGAAUCUACGAUUCUUAAUGACAGAAUCGAGGGAUGCACCACUUUUACAACAACGAUGGAAUUGACAGUCAAUGGGUGAAGAAAUACAAGGU